GCCGGGGUGCCCGAGCGGUCCAAGGGGCCGGCCUGGAGAGCCGGUGGCCGAAUCAGGCCGCGCGGGUUCAAAUCCCGCCCCCGGC
This 85-nucleotide transfer RNA is filed under the name Pyrodictium sp. RNAcentral describes it as "tRNA-Ser". It matches the Rfam family "tRNA". Rfam says of the family: Transfer RNA (tRNA) molecules are approximately 80 nucleotides in length. Their secondary structure includes four short double-helical elements and three loops (D, anti-codon, and T loops). Further hydrogen bonds mediate the characteristic L-shaped molecular structure. tRNAs have two regions of fundamental functional importance: the anti-codon, which is responsible for specific mRNA codon recognition, and the 3' end, to which the tRNAs corresponding amino acid is attached (by aminoacyl-tRNA synthetases). tRNAs cope with the degeneracy of the genetic code in two manners: having more than one tRNA (with a specific anti-codon) for a particular amino acid; and 'wobble' base-pairing, i.e. permitting non-standard base-pairing at the 3rd anti-codon position. The record is from RNAcentral. Lineage: Archaea; Thermoproteati; Thermoproteota; Thermoprotei; Desulfurococcales; Pyrodictiaceae.